This 1543-nucleotide ribosomal RNA is filed under the name Blattabacterium punctulatus. RNAcentral describes it as "bacterial SSU rRNA". It matches the Rfam family "Bacterial small subunit ribosomal RNA". The record is from RNAcentral. Lineage: Bacteria; Pseudomonadati; Bacteroidota; Flavobacteriia; Flavobacteriales; Blattabacteriaceae.
UUUUUACAACGAAGAGUUUGAUCCUGGCUCAGGAUGAACGCUAGCGGCGGGCUUAACACAUGCAAGUCGAGGGGCAGCAUGAAAUUUAUUUAUUUAGAUUUUGAUGGCGACCGGCGGACGGGUGCGUAACACGUAUGUAACCUACCUUUUUCUAGAAAAUAGCCUGAGGAAACUCGGAUUAAUAUUCUAUAAUACAAUAUUUUCGCAUGAAAAUAUUAUUAAAGUAAAAAUGCGGAAAAAGAUGGGCAUGCGCCCGAUUAGUUAGUUGGUGGGGUAAAGGCCUACCAAGACGAUGAUCGGUAGGGGGCCUGAGAGGGUGAUCCCCCACACUGGUACUGAGAUACGGACCAGACUCCUACGGGAGGCAGCAGUGAGGAAUAUUGGUCAAUGGAGGAAACUCUGAACCAGCCACGCCGCGUGCAGGAAGAAUGCCUUAUGGGUUGUAAACUGCUUUUGUUUAGGAAUAAAAAUUUCUACGUGAUAGAAAUUGUGAAGGUACUAGACGAAUAAGUGUCGGCAAACUCCGUGCCAGCAGCCGCGGUAAUACGGAGGACACAAGCGUUAUCCGGAUUUAUUGGGUUUAAAGAGUGCGUAGGCGGUUUAUUAAGUCAGUAGUGAAAUGUUACAGCUUAACUGUUAAAAUGGCUAAUGAUACUGAUAGACUUGAGUGAGAUUGGAGUAACUGGAAUGUGUGGUGUAGCGGUGAAAUGCAUAGAGAUCACACAGAACACCGAUCGCGAAAGCAGGUUACUAAAUCUAUACUGACGCUGAGGCACGAAAGCGUGGGGAGCAAACAGGAUUAGAUACCCUGGUAGUCCACGCCGUAAACGAUGAUCACUAGUCGUUGGAUUUUAUUAUUCAGUGGCUAAGCGAAAGUGAUAAGUGAUCCACCUGGGGAGUACGACCGCAAGGUUGAAACUCAAAGGAAUUGACGGGGGCCCGCACAAGCGGUGGAGCAUGUGGUUUAAUUCGAUGAUACGCGAGGAACCUUACCAAGGUUUAAAUGUACUACGAAUAAACUAGAAAUAGUUUAGUCUUCGGACGGAGUACAAGAUGCUGCAUGGUUGUCGUCAGCUCGUGCCGUGAGGUGUUGGGUUAAGUCCCUCAACGAGCGCAACCCUCAUUGUUAGUUGCCAACGAAUAAUGUCGGGGACUCUAGCAAGACUGCCGACGUAAGUCGAGAGGAAGGUGGGGACGACGUCAAAUCAUCACGGCUCUUAUACCUUGGGCUACACACGUGCUACAAUGGUCGGUACAAAGGGUUGCUAUUGAGUGAUCAUAAGCUAAUCUCUAAAAACCGAUCUCAGUUCGGAUUGGAGUCUGCAACUCGACUCUAUGAAGUUGGAAUCGCUAGUAAUCGCAUAUCAGCCAUGAUGCGGUGAAUACGUUCCCGGGCCUUGUACACACCGCCCGUCAAGCCAUGGAAGUCGGGGGGACCUGAAAUCGGUGACCAUAAAAGGAACUGCUUAAGGUAAAAUCGAUAACUGGGGCUAAGUCGUAACAAGGUAGCCGUACCGGAAGGUGUGGCUGGAACAUCUCUUUU